RNAcentral lists this ribosomal RNA (466 nucleotides) under uncultured bacterium. RNAcentral's name for it is "partial 16S ribosomal RNA". It matches the Rfam family "Bacterial small subunit ribosomal RNA", at positions 28 to 507 of the family's 1533-position model. The record is from RNAcentral.
GAUGAACGCUGGCGGCGUGCUUAACACAUGCAAGUCGAACGGAAAGGCCCAGCCUUUCUUGGGUGCUCGAGUGGCGAACGGGUGAGUAACACGUGGGUAAUCUGCCCUUCACUUUGGGAUAACCCUUGGAAACUGGGUCUAAUACCGGAUAGGACCUCCUUUUGCAUGGUGUGGGUUGAAGUUUUUCGGUGUGGGGUGAGCUUGCGGCCUGUUAGCUUGUUGGUGGGGUAAUGGGCUACCAAGGCGUCGGAGGGUAGCCGGCCUGCGAGGGUGGACGGCCACAAUGGGAAUGAGGUAAGGGCCAGAAUCCCAAGGGGGGGAGCAGUGGGGAAGAAUGGAAAAAGGGGGGAAAGCGGAAUGCAGGAAGGCGCGGGGGGGGUGACGGGCUUCGGGUUGGAAACCCCGUUCGGCAGGGAAGAAGCGGUAUGUGACGGUACUGGGUGAAGAAGCACCGGCUAACUACGUG